Chinchilla lanigera (long-tailed chinchilla) is the source of this 3932-nucleotide long non-coding RNA. The record is from Ensembl. Lineage: Eukaryota; Metazoa; Chordata; Mammalia; Rodentia; Chinchillidae.
CCAGUGUCUCUCCACCUCAAGAAAUAGCUCCCCCGGCCAGGUGACCACUGUACCAUCAUUUCCUUGGCCACCACUACUUUGAUUUUCUUUUCACUUUUCUCAACUAGCCAAGGCUUCCAAUUUUCACUGCAGUAGUGGACAAGAUCUUUGAUGAAGAGUACAAUGUCUGGUUCCUAGACUGGGGUGGCGCCCUGGUAGCCAUGAAACAGAGACCUCUGCCUGUAAGGCAUUUGUGGGUGAGUUUUGAUGAGGGCCGCUCCUGGGACAAGUAUGGUUUCACUCUGCAUCCGCUCUUCGUGGACGGGGCGCUGGUGGAGGCUGGAUUGGACACCCACAUCAUGACAGUUUUUGGCCACUUCAGCCUCCGCUCCGAAUGGCAGUUGGUGAAAGUGGACUACAAAUCCAUCUUUAGCCGGCGCUGCACCAAGGAGGACUAUCAGACAUGGCACCUGCUCAAUCAGGGAGAACCUUGUGUUAUGGGAGAAAGGAAAAUAUUCAAGAAACGGAAGCCGGGAGCUCAGUGUGCCCUGGGCCGUGACUACUCAGGGUCCGUGGUCUCAGAACCCUGUGUCUGUGCUGACUGGGACUUCGAGUGCGACUAUGGCUAUGAGAGACAUGGAGAGAGCCAGUGUGUUCCUGCAUUCUGGUAUAAUCCAGCAUCCCCCUCAAAGGACUGCAGCCUUGGGCAAAGUUACCUUAACAGCACUGGGUACCGGAGAAUUGUGUCCAACAACUGCACAAAUGGACUAAGAGACAAGUAUUCUGCCAAGGCCCAGAUGUGUCCUGGAAAAGCCCCUCGGGGCCUCCACGUGGUGACAAAUGAUGGGCGCCUGGUGGCAGAGCAGGGACACAAUGCAACCUUCAUCAUCCUCAUGGAGGAGGGUGAUCUCCAGAGGACAAAUAUCCAGCUUGACUUUGGGGAUGGGAUUGCUGUGUCCUAUGCUAACUUCAGCCCCAUCGAGGAUGGCAUCAAGCAUGUCUAUAAGAGUGCAGGGAUCUUCCAGGUGACAGCCUAUGCAGAGAACAACCUUGGUUCGGAUACCGCUGUCCUUUUCCUGCAUGUGGUUUGUCCCGUGGAGCAUGUUCAUCUCCGAGUUCCAUUUGUCGCCAUCAGAAAUAAAGAGGUCAACAUCAGUGCAGUUGUGUGGCCGAGUCAGCUGGGAACCCUCACCUACUUCUGGUGGUUUGGCAACAGCACCAAGCCCCUCAUCACCCUGGACAGCAGCAUUUCCUUCACGUUCCUGGAGGAGGGAACCAGCACCAUCACGGUCCAGGUGGCUGCUGGGAACGCCCUCAUCCAGGACACAAAAGACAUUGCAGUUCAUGAAUACUUCCAGUCUCAGCUCUUAUCCUUCUCUCCCAACCUGGAUUACCACAAUCCUGACAUUCCUGAGUGGAGGCAGGAUAUUGGCAACGUCAUCAAGAGAGCUCUGGUUAAAGUCACCAGUGUCCCAGAAGAGCAGAUCCUUGUCGCCGUGUUCCCUGGCCUCCCCACCUCUGCGGAGCUUUUCAUCCUUCCACCCAAGAAUUUGACGGAGAGGAGGAAAGGCCACGAGGGGGAUCUGGAACAGAUUGUAGAGACUUUGUUCAAUGCUCUGAAUCAGAACUUGGUCCAGUUUGAGCUGAAGCCAGGCGUCCAGGUCAUUGUGUAUGUCACACAGCUGACAUUAGCCCCGCUGGUGGACACUAGUGCUGGACACAGCAGCUCAGCCAUGCUUAUGCUCCUGUCCGUGGUGUUCGUUGGCCUGGCUGUAUUUCUGAUCUACAAGUUUAAAAGGAAAAUUCCCUGGAUUAACAUCUAUGCUCAAGUUCAACACGACAAGGAGCAGGAGAUGAUCGGGUCAGUGAGCCAAAGUGAAAACGCCCCCAAAAUUACUCUCAGUGACUUCACCGAGCCUGAAGAACUGAUGGACAAAGAGCUGGACACCAGAGUCAUAGGAGGCAUUGCCACCAUUGCAAACAGCGAAAGCACAAAGGAGAUCCCCAACUGUACGAGUGUUUAACACCCACCGGCCACGUGUUCAGCCACCUUUCUGACAUUUUAUUUUUGAUGACUUUAUUAUUAUUAUUAUUAUGGAAAAUUGAAAAUGUCUUUUUUACCUUUUGUUUACCAAGGGCCCCCCCCCUUAUAAAUAGCAGGCAGAUACUUAAAUUUGGGGAAAAGGGGCAGUCUUAGGUGAUGAAAAUGAGUCAAAAGGAAUAAAUGACUAUAUCCGUGCUAGGGGCAAAGGAUGCAUCUUCCCACAGCCUCCUUACUUUACUCAGCCAUUGGGAGUGCGGAGACUCCCCUUCUCUCUCUCUCUCAUUUUAAAUUGGAAGUUGGGUUGGUAUUUUGUUAAGUCCUAACUCCUAGGCUCCCACCCAAAUCACCAUCACUCCCUUGACCCGCCCCCAGCACAUACGUAAACAAUACGCACCGUUUCCCAGGUAGAGCUGCAAGAGGUAGGUUGGUGGGGUAUGGACAGGGCUGCAGAGAGUGUGCACACCUUUGUGAAAGAGGCCCUGCCUCGUGCAUGUCAAUAGUGAGGCUGCAGAUGGCUUAUUGUAAAUAAUGACAAUGUAAAUAGCUUUUUAUUUCCUAAGAAAUAAUUUAAUGUUUAGUAAAAAAGAAAACAGAAAAAAGAAUGAUGCGUGUGGUGGCUUUCGCACUCACCCUCCAAGUUGACCCACCCUGCUGACCCAGGCCUGUUUGAUGCGUUGGACUCUGGAUACUUGCCAGCUGUCUGUCACAUUUAACUACCCCAUCUCCACAUCCACGCCAUAGCUGGUUUCUGCUAAGUAUAUAAUGGGAGGUGCGGGGAGAGGGCUUCAUUGGGGCAGUUGGUGCAGAAAGGACUUCACUGACAUCAGAGGACCUGGGAGCCAUUUUUUUUUCAACAGUUGCAGUUGCAUGCAGGAAGUUGCAAGAUGAGGCCCAGAACUGAAUGUUUUAAACUGCAACCCAGAGGGGGUGGUGCAGCUUCUGCCCUAAGACGAGAACUUGAGAAUAUUAGACUGAAAUUUUUUUUUAACUCUAAAAAUCCAGGCAGUGGAUCUAAAGCUGUUGAAAUGUGAAAUGCUCAUGGCAAACUAUGGUCUUUCCUGAGCUCAGGUCCUUCGGGCACAAGGUUCAGUCCAGGCGGUGUCUGUUAGCAUGAGAAGCAUUAGAGAGGUCCAAGGAAGGUGGCAUUUGUGGAAUCUCAAGUCUACACAAACCCUUUAGGCCAAAGGGAGGUCUAGCCUUUCCUGAUAUUAGUCAAAGACAAUUUUAGCAAAGCUGUGCUAUUUGCCUGUCAGAUGUACACAACUUCCUUAAAGUCAAAUGUCUGCCUUCAGUUCCCUUAAGGUAGUUAUUGCCCCUGGAGUGAGUAGCUUUCCAAGCUGAUACUUGCUUUGCUGGGCCCUCAGCCCUUUCACAUAUUUAGCAUACCAGUUCUUUUCCAUAGAGAUACUUAAGCCCACGCAGUGAUCUUUGUUUCUAUUUUUAUUUUUAGGGUCCACCUGAUCACACUUGUUUUAAAGAAUGGUAUCAUAUAUAUAUUAUAUAUGGAAAGGCCACAUUUUGUACCUGCUAAUUUCUGUGGGAUGUCACUGGCAUUCCUCUUCAUGAGACCAAGGGAGCACGUGACAGAGAGAGACCUGGCUAGGUACAGCACAGCUCAGUGUGAAAAGUAUCUCUACAGACCCCGCUUUUUUGUUUCAAGGGUUAAAUGGAGCAGACAAUUGCAAUACUUGUACUAAACACUGGAAUACAAAUGCAUGAGUCAUAUCUAUAUAUACAGUAUAUGUACAUAUACUGUUCUUGGUUUUAUUGUUCCAUUUGAAUAUUUCUACUGUAAAAAAGACAGUGGUUUUGAAAUUGUUGAAAAUAAAUGUAUUUUUGUACCUCAAACCUACGUACUUGGCUGAACUUUCUCUCUGUGCGAUUUUCAUUACCUGUUGUAUCCAUCACA